AUUGAACGCUGGCGGCGUGCUUAACACAUGCAAGUCGAACGCGAAAGGGACUUCGGUCCUGAGUAAAGUGGCGCACGGGUGAGUAACGCGUGGAUAAUCUGCCCUUAUGAUUGGAAUAACAGUUGGAAACGGCUGCUAAUACCGGAUACGCUCAAAAUGAACUUUUUGAGGAAAGAUGGCCUCUGCUUGCAUGCUAUCGCAUAAGGAUGAGUCCGCGUCCCAUUAGCUUGUUGGCGGGGUAACGGCCCACCAAGGCAACGAUGGGUAGCCGAUUUGAGAGGAUGAUCGGCCACACUGGAACUGAAACACGGUCCAGACUCCUACGGGAGGCAGCAGUGGGGAAUAUUGCGCAAUGGGCGAAAGCCUGACGCAGCGACGCCGCGUGAGGGAUGAAGGUUUUCGGAUCGUAAACAUCUGUCAGAAGGGAAGAAACUACGUUGUGCUAAUCAGCAGCGUACUGACGGUACCUUCAAAGGAAGCACCGGCUAACUCCGUGCCAGCCGCCGCUGUAA
Molecule: ribosomal RNA, 512 nt
Filed under: uncultured bacterium
Lineage: Bacteria
Description: partial 16S ribosomal RNA
Rfam family: Bacterial small subunit ribosomal RNA
Source: RNAcentral